CCCUACGGGGGGCAGCAGUGGGGGAUAUUGCACAAUGGGGGAAACCCUGAUGCAGCGACGCCGCGUGAGUGAAGAAGUAUUUCGGUAUGUAAAGCUCUAUCAGCAGGGAAGAAAAUGACGGUACCUGACUAAGAAGCCCCGGCUAACUACGUGCCAGCAGCCGCGGUAAUACGUAGGGGGCAAGCGUUAUCCGGAUUUACUGGGUGUAAAGGUAGCGUAGACGGCUAAUCAAGUCAGAAGUGAAAACC
This 248-nucleotide ribosomal RNA is filed under the name uncultured bacterium. RNAcentral describes it as "partial 16S ribosomal RNA". It matches the Rfam family "Bacterial small subunit ribosomal RNA", at positions 337 to 602 of the family's 1533-position model. The record is from RNAcentral.